Molecule: ribosomal RNA, 468 nt
Filed under: uncultured bacterium
Lineage: Bacteria
Description: partial 16S ribosomal RNA
Rfam family: Bacterial small subunit ribosomal RNA
Source: RNAcentral
GACGAACGCUGGCGGCGUGCUUAACACAUGCAAGUCGAACGGAAAGGCCCUGCUUUUGUGGGGUGCUCGAGUGGCGAACGGGUGAGUAACACGUGAGUAACCUGCCCUUGACUUUGGGAUAACUUCAGGAAACUGGGGCUAAUACCGGAUAGGAGCUCCUGCUGCAUGGUGGGGGUUGGAAAGUUUCGGCGGUUGGGGAUGGACUCGCGGCUUAUCAGCUUGUUGGUGGGGUAGUGGCUUACCAAGGCUUUGACGGGUAGCCGGCCUGAGAGGGUGACCGGCCACAUUGGGACUGAGAUACGGCCCAGACUCCUACGGGAGGCAGCAGUGGGGAAUAUUGCACAAUGGGCGGAAGCCUGAUGAAGCAACGCCGCGUGCGGGAUGAAGGCCUUCGGGUUGUAAACCGCUUUCGCCUGUGACGAAGCGUGAGUGACGGUAAUGGGUAAAGAAGCACCGGCUAACUACGUG